This is a long non-coding RNA of Choloepus didactylus (southern two-toed sloth), 3607 nucleotides long. RefSeq lists it as uncharacterized. The record is from RefSeq and is a predicted model, not a curated record. NCBI's taxonomy places the organism in Eukaryota, Metazoa, Chordata, Mammalia, Pilosa, Megalonychidae. The transcript has 11 exons.
UCCAGCAUCUCCCAGCAUGGAAACUACAGUUACAGCUUAGCCUGUUUUGCUAUGGAACUGUGCCAGAAGCAGUUUUGAAGGUGUUUUAAAAAUGAAGACAUCUGGCAGCUGGCAUCCUUACAAUUCAUUUGCCAAAGACAAGUUGCACGCUGCUGGAAUUUUCAACUGAAGGUCAUGCACCAGCCAUCACCUCCUUCAUUGGACCACAAGGAAAAAUCUUUUUGGAAAAGUAAUGGAGUCCAAUCAACUUAAACUUCAUUUAUCUCCAAUGACUACUGAAAAUUAUAAAACUUGCUGUGGAGCUCCAACAUGCCAGAAGCUACAAGAUAGAGAAUUUUGACAUUCCGUACCUCAUCAAGAGGUUCUCCUCCUCCUUGGAUGAAGGCCAAAAUGAUACUUUCAAUCAGCUGGUCUCUCUUCUCAGGUGUAGAUCACCUAUUAGUUCACCUGUUUUGAUACUCUGAUGAGGAAAGUCCUAGGACUUCUCAGCUGGGAUAGGCCUCAUUUACAAGACAACUCUGUUCAGUGUUUGGAAGAAAGCCUGACAGGUUUCUCCGGAAAAGUGGCCAUCCAUGGAAUGAAUGAAAUGUUCCCUUUCUAUUCCAGGGAUUGCAGUGGCAAAGCUAGGCUAGGUCUUGGAGGCUGGUGUAAGGCGAUGCGGGUGAAGGCAGGAGGCUGAUGGAGAGACUAGGGAGAAGAAAAGCCGAAAUGGAUUCACGGUGCCUUGGAUGGAGGUUGAGAGGGGAAUUGCAGGCUCCUUCAGCUCCUUCUGUCCGGUGAAAAGUGAUCGAGCUUGGGCUGACAAGAGGCUCAGGGAGCCCACGUUCUUUCCCUUUUUUACCUGCCAAUCAAACUGCUACAAGACAACACCCUGAUCUGGCAUGGACAUCGCGGGUCCAAGCCUGUAGCCCCAAAUCGGAUAAUCUCUACAGCUGAUAACAAGCAAAAGAGAAGCCAGGCAACAGCCAUAUUAAAGAAGAAAACAAAUCAACUCUGAGAUCCAACUUGGAAAUAAUGUUUCACUCAAGAUAAGGCUUAUGGUUUAGGAGAUUCUGGCCUGGCUUGCCUCAUUUUAUGACUUCUAUCAUCCGUUUUCAAAACCUGAGAAGGACCUUGUUUCCUGUUUGAUAGUUCCACAUGCUUUGCCAGCCACCGGGACUUUAAGGAAGCUUGCCAAGUGCCUGCGACUGGGAAGGACAGUCCGUGCUCAUCACCAAGAGAACGAGCUGGCACCAGAGUUGCAGUGACUCACCAACCUGGCUGCCCACUUCCUGAUGUCAAAAACCAUACUAUCUAAUUGAAAGACCUGUGUUUUAGCAAAGUGCAAUUGGAUCACACGGCAAAAUCAUCUCAAACUACAUCUCUGACCUUCCCUUUCACUGUUUUGAGCACAAAACCAGGAAGGAAAUGAUUCCUGAUUUAUAGUUUGCUUUUUUUUAAAAAAAAAAAAGAAAAAUUAAGAUUAGUUAACAAAUACUUGGUUUUAUGUCCAAUCUGUUCUAAGAACUUAGUGAUGAUUAUGAAACAGUGAAAAUAGGUCACAGCAAAAUGAACAUUUGAGAUUAGCACUGUUGAAAAUGGCUCCAAAGCAACACUGCAGUGGCUGAAAUCAAUUGUACUGUGAAGUUGUUGAGAUGCCAUUUCAUCUGAAUCUUCUGUAAAAAUUAGAUUUUAAGUAGGUGCCAAGGAUAUGGGAAUGAAUCUUCAGCAUAAGAGAAGAAAAUAGUCACUUUUUACUCAUCAUUCAGAAGCCCUAUAUUCAUGAUUAUCCAGGCCAAAGACCAUAACAGCUAGUGAUGGCACCGGCAAGCCCUGCGGGCAGGAUUCUCUGCAGACCCAGCCAACCUCCAACAAACCCCUUUUUAUACUCCUUUUCUAGGAAGAAUUAUGAUGGCGGUGCCCUGCUGUUGAUCAGUCAAAUCUGUGGUAGGCCUAGAGAUAAGUCCUGUAAGUGUGGUGUACUGUAAAACAGCGGCUCCCAUUCAUUAGUAGAUUGUGUGUAAUAAACCACCAAAAAAGGCGGGGAGGGAGGGCAGGAGAGGCAGCUGCAGUGUGCAAGAACAAACAACGCAGCUCAUUCUUGGGAGCCAAAACUUUGUAAUUUGCUACUGGGCAGCCUACUCUCUCUGACAUUCUUUCUGAUAACAUAGUAGUGCCAUAUCUAUAUUUAUAGUUUGACUGCUGGCUCAGGAGAUUCUAUUUUGUAACUGUGUGUGUGUGUGCAUAUGUAAACACACACACACACACUAUAUAUAUAUAUAUAUAUAUAUAUAUAUAUAUAUACAUGCACAUAUAUAAAACUAUAUAUACAUUAUAUAUAAAAUACGAUUUUAUUAAGAAAGAGAUUAAAAAUACCAUCAAAAAACUGACUGGCAUCCAAAAUUGUGAGACUAAAGGGACAGUUUCGUCUAUGAACUGACAACCUUAAAAAAUACAUGUUAACCAUUGUUUCAUAGUGCUGGUUUUAUAAGGACGGCACUUUCAAAAGAUACCAGGAAAAAUGCAAACAGUGGGGUUAUUGCCCAGGACCAAAUUAUGUUUCUUUGCUAAAAAAUGUUUCAGAUAUAAAAAUGUUUAUUGAAAAGAAAGUUAUUUGGGGAUGCUUGCCUUACAAAAAAAAGUCUUUAACCCAAGUUUUAUUUUUUGGCUAUUAAGUAUCUAAGAAACACUACUGUCGAAACCAAAAUGUGGAAGCAAUGUAGUUGUGAAUGGAAGACAAUAUACCUGUUUGGGGGAAAAAACCACCUCUCAAUAGGCCCUUUUAAUUCAGGAUGAGUUAACCUAAUAAAAAGGACACACUUGAAUUUGCUCAUGACUACUUAACGAGAAAGUGAAAAAAUGCUGCAGUUUCUGUAAUAAACUCUUUCUUUUUGACAUCCAAAGCAGGUGCAUGGCAUUGUGAUGUCAACACUGUACUUGUUUUUCAUCAGCCCCCCACUGUCCUUCCAAAUGGGAAUGGAAUACUGUACAUUCUAGGCAUUUUUUUCUUUGCCACUCGGAACUCAGGGUCAGGAGAGUGGCUAUGGCAGAGUGGAAAGCAUGCCAGUUGUUUUGGAAUUCUUGCAGGUGUUUGAAAAGCAAAGAUUCUUUUCAGAGGCACAUCUGCAUUUGUCAUAUACCAUUUGUGCUAAAGCCUGUGGUGUUUUUGUUUGUUGGCUUGACAGAUUGACAUGUAAUGGCCAGGAUGGUUGGGCGGCUGUUCCGAACAAAGUCAUUCUGAUAGCUGGAGUUCUCCAGAAACCAACUGGCCUGAAUUACCCAUGAUUUUUCUCUAUCUUUCAAAGGAAAGUGGGCCAUUCUUAUGUUCCUCUGGCUUUUUGUUUGCUUUCAUGAUUAUUUUUGGUUAUAAGUUUUAAGAUAAAAUAGUGAUAUGGAUAGUAUAACAUCUAAAAAGAGUUUUCAAAACCAAUUAGUCAUUAAAAUUUACUUAGAAUUAGCUAAAGAGAUUGUGGAAUUUAAAUAAAUAUUGAUAUAUCAUAGAAUUGAAAUAAUAAAGAGAAAAUAUCUGAAUCAGUCAUGAAUAAGAAAAAUUAGUAGAGGCAAAUGCUGUGACUUUAAAACUUUUUAAUGGUUUUAUAAACAAAAAUAAAAUCCCUGUUUUAAGUUA